AUUAAGGUGGCAGAUAAGUGUGAAGGAUUUAAGAUUCUUUUAGGAAAAUAAAAAUUAUUUUCUCUUAAUA
RNAcentral lists this transfer RNA (70 nucleotides) under Bolitaena pygmaea. RNAcentral describes it as "tRNA-Leu". The record is from RNAcentral. Lineage: Eukaryota; Metazoa; Mollusca; Cephalopoda; Octopoda; Bolitaenidae.